RNAcentral lists this ribosomal RNA (221 nucleotides) under Vibrio parahaemolyticus. RNAcentral describes it as "partial 23S ribosomal RNA". It matches the Rfam family "Bacterial large subunit ribosomal RNA", at positions 476 to 699 of the family's 2925-position model. The record is from RNAcentral. RNAcentral also lists the same sequence under 1 other name. Lineage: Bacteria; Pseudomonadati; Pseudomonadota; Gammaproteobacteria; Vibrionales; Vibrionaceae.
CUGACUGACCGAUAGUGAACCAGUACCGUGAGGGAAAGGCGAAAAGAACCCCUGUGAGGGGAGUGAAAUAGAACCUGAAACCGUGUACGUACAAGCAGUAGGAGCAGGCUUUGUCCUGUGACUGCGUACCUUUUGUAUAAUGGGUCAGCGACUUAUAUUCAGUGGCAAGGUUAACCAUCUAGGGGAGCCGUAGGGAAACCGAGUCUUAACUGGGCGUUCAG